UUUCUUUUGGGAGACAAUUCUUGGUCUGCUACUGGGCCUUAGUAGAGACUGAAUGUUUGACCAGGGGCCGCCAAGUUACCAUGCAACCUGAGCUGCCUAUUCAUGAACUGGGUGUUAUCCAAUCCACCGAGUCAUAAAAUUUGGCAUACACAGCACUCCAUCAUCAAAUGGAAGUAGUACAUACAUGAUCCGGUUGGAAUAGGCCCUGAAGGCACACAUGCAAGACAUUGUGAUUUUGACCUUGUUGGAUGCUGCACCUAAAGGUGGAUGGAAGAGGAAGUCUUGGGGGCUACCACUCUGACUGGAGAAGCUGGCACGAGGCUCCCUCUUGUGGAUGCAGCAAGUCUAGGGGCCAAGGAAAGAGAAGAAUGACAUGGAAUCUCCUUUCCUUGAGAUCUUAGAAUCACGCCUGCCUCCUUACCUCCAUCCAGGACUGUUAAAAAACUCCCAAAGCAGGGACUUUUAGGCCCACAUGCACUUAGCCUCCUCUUCCCACCUCCUGUUCAUCUCCGUUUCCAAUGUUCCACUGCCAUAACUGCCAGGAGGUUCUGCAGAGAAGAUUGAAGAAGAACCAUAUGAUCCUAAACAUGCUCUCUGAAGAUAUUAUCAGCCCACCAUCGGCCUUAUUUAUUGGGAUGUUUUUAUAACCUUUAUUUGAUACCUCUUCCCAUCAUUUAAAAUAAACCUGGUGCUUCCCUGAA
Molecule: long non-coding RNA, 701 nt
Organism: Chlorocebus sabaeus (green monkey)
Lineage: Eukaryota; Metazoa; Chordata; Mammalia; Primates; Cercopithecidae
Source: RefSeq, a predicted model, not a curated record